CUUAGCUCAAAUGUUAGAGCAUCGCAUUUGUAAUGCGAUGGUCAUAUGUUCGAAUCCGAUAG
RNAcentral lists this transfer RNA (62 nucleotides) under Cajanus cajan (pigeon pea). It matches the Rfam family "tRNA", at positions 6 to 65 of the family's 71-position model. From Rfam's summary of the family: Transfer RNA (tRNA) molecules are approximately 80 nucleotides in length. Their secondary structure includes four short double-helical elements and three loops (D, anti-codon, and T loops). Lineage: Eukaryota; Viridiplantae; Streptophyta; Magnoliopsida; Fabales; Fabaceae. The record is from Rfam by way of RNAcentral.